Molecule: long non-coding RNA, 343 nt
Filed under: Anas platyrhynchos platyrhynchos (common mallard)
Lineage: Eukaryota; Metazoa; Chordata; Aves; Anseriformes; Anatidae
Description: lncRNA (ENSAPLG00000022432.1)
Source: RNAcentral
AUUUUUUGCAAACUGAAAGCAAUACUAUUGCAAGAAAGGAUCCAAUGCAGCUGGUCCAAGGCAGACACUUCUCCAUACAGAGGAAUUUCAGGUACGUGAAGUGGUCAUGCACAGAAGCAAGGGCUUUGUAGAGCAUGCCAGCUGAAAAACUUGGAACUGUGUAGCAGUAUCUAGCCACUGAAUUGCUUAGUUUUUCCACGUGAUCUGAACUCCCUUCCCCUGAAUAAGAAGGAUUCCACAUUCAGGCAACUGGAUGACAGACACAGAAAAGAAGUCUGAUAUUAUUAAAGAAGGAGACGCUGCGCUAAUGAUAUCUAUAAAAGGAUUUGAUGACGUAUAGGAG